This 253-nucleotide ribosomal RNA is filed under the name uncultured bacterium. RNAcentral describes it as "partial 16S ribosomal RNA". It matches the Rfam family "Bacterial small subunit ribosomal RNA", at positions 524 to 776 of the family's 1533-position model. The record is from RNAcentral.
UACGUAGGGUGCAAGCGUUGUCCGGAAUUAUUGGGCGUAAAGAGCUCGUAGGCGGUUUGUCGCGUCUGCUGUGAAAACCCGGGGCUCAACUCCGGGCUUGCAUUCGAUACGGGCAGACUAGAGUUCGGUAGGGGAGACUGGAAUUCCUGGUGUAGCGGUGAAAUGCGCAGAUAUCAGGAGGAACACCGGUGGCGAAGGCGGGUCUCUGGGCCGAUACUGACGCUGAGGAGCGAAAGCGUGGGGAGCGAACAGG